GACGAACGCUGGCGGCGUGCUUAACACAUGCAAGUCGAACGGAAAGGCCUGCUUUCCCUUGUGGAUUGCGGGUACUCGAGUGGCGAACGGGUGAGUAACACGUGAGUGAUCUGCCCCCAACUUGGGUAUAAGCCUGGGAAACUGGGUCUAAUUCCCGAUAGGACUGCAGGGUGGUGCCUGUGGUGGAAAACGAUUUUCUAGUGGUUGGGGAUGAGCUCGCGGCCUAUCAGCUUGUUGGUGGGGUAAUGGCCUACCAAGGCGGCGACGGGUAGCCGGACUGAGAGGGUGGACGGCCCCAUUGGGACUGAGAUACGGCCCAGACUCCUACGGGAGGCAGCAGUGGGGAAUAUUGCACAAUGGGAGGAAGCCUGAUGCAGCGACGCCGCGUGGGGGAUGACGGCCUUCGGGUUGUAAACUCCUUUCGACCGCGAGGAAGCCACCUGGUUGGAAGGGUGGUGACGGUAGUGGUAGAAGAAGCACCGGCUAACUACGUG
RNAcentral lists this ribosomal RNA (494 nucleotides) under uncultured bacterium. RNAcentral describes it as "partial 16S ribosomal RNA". It matches the Rfam family "Bacterial small subunit ribosomal RNA", at positions 28 to 507 of the family's 1533-position model. The record is from RNAcentral.